GUGCUCAGUUUGGCGACACAUAUAUUAAAAGUUGGAAUGAUACAGAGAAGAUUAGCAUGGCCCCUGCAGAAGAAUGACACACAAAUUCAUGAAACAUUCCAUAUUUUU
This is a small nuclear RNA of Equus asinus (donkey), 108 nucleotides long. The record is from Ensembl. NCBI's taxonomy places the organism in Eukaryota, Metazoa, Chordata, Mammalia, Perissodactyla, Equidae.